CCUACGGGAGGCAGCAGUGGGGAAUAUUGGGCAAUGGGCGCAAGCCUGACCCAGCAACGCCGCGUGAAGGAAGAAGGCUUUCGGGUUGUAAACUUCUUUUAAGAGGGAAGAGCAGAAGACGGUACCUCUUCAAUAAGCCACGGCUAACUACGUGCCAGCAGCCGCGGUAAUACGUAGGUGGCAAGCGUUGUCCGGAUUUACGGGGUGUAAGGGUCGUGCGGCCGGGAAGACAAGUCAGGUGUGAAAUCCCGCGGGUUAACCGCGGAACUGCAGUUGAAACUGUUUUUCUUGAGUACCGGAGAGGUAAUCGGAAUUCCUGGUGUAGCGGUGAAAUGCGUAGAUAUAAGGAAGAACACCAGUGGCGAAGGCGGAUGACUGGACGGCAACUGACGGUGAGGCGCGAAAGCGUGGGGAGCGAACAGGAUUAGAUACCCGAGUAGUC
RNAcentral lists this ribosomal RNA (442 nucleotides) under uncultured bacterium. RNAcentral's name for it is "partial 16S ribosomal RNA". It matches the Rfam family "Bacterial small subunit ribosomal RNA", at positions 338 to 795 of the family's 1533-position model. The record is from RNAcentral.